GACGAACGCUGGCGGCGUGCUUAACACAUGCAAGUCGAACGGAAAGGCCCUGCUUUUGUGGGGUGCUCGAGGGGCGAACGGGUGAGUAACACGUGAGUAACCUGCCCUUGACUUUGGGAUAACUUCAGGAAACUGGGGCUAACACCGGAUAGGAGCUCCUGCUGCAUGGUGGGGGUUGGAAAUUUUCGGCGGUUGGGGAUGGACUCGCGGCUUAUCAGCUUGUUGGUGGGGUAGUGGCUUACCAAGGCUUUGACGGGUAGCCGGCCUGAGAGGGUGACCGGCCACAUUGGGACGGGGAUACGGCCCGGACUCCUACGGGAGGCAGCAGUGGGGAAUAUUGCACAAUGGGCGGAAGCCUGAGGCAGCAACGCCGCGUGCGGGAUGACGGCCUUCGGGUUGUAAACCGCUUUCGCCUGUGACGAAGCGUGAGUGACGGUAAUGGGUAAAGAAGCACCGGCUAACUACGUG
Molecule: ribosomal RNA, 468 nt
Filed under: uncultured bacterium
Lineage: Bacteria
Description: partial 16S ribosomal RNA
Rfam family: Bacterial small subunit ribosomal RNA
Source: RNAcentral